GGGCCCAUAGCUCAGCUGGUUAGAGCAUCUGACUCAUAAUCAGAGGGUCACUGGUUCAAGCCCAGUUGGGCCCA
This 74-nucleotide transfer RNA is filed under the name Bacteroidales bacterium. RNAcentral describes it as "tRNA-Ile". It matches the Rfam family "tRNA". From Rfam's summary of the family: Transfer RNA (tRNA) molecules are approximately 80 nucleotides in length. Their secondary structure includes four short double-helical elements and three loops (D, anti-codon, and T loops). Further hydrogen bonds mediate the characteristic L-shaped molecular structure. tRNAs have two regions of fundamental functional importance: the anti-codon, which is responsible for specific mRNA codon recognition, and the 3' end, to which the tRNAs corresponding amino acid is attached (by aminoacyl-tRNA synthetases). tRNAs cope with the degeneracy of the genetic code in two manners: having more than one tRNA (with a specific anti-codon) for a particular amino acid; and 'wobble' base-pairing, i.e. permitting non-standard base-pairing at the 3rd anti-codon position. The record is from RNAcentral. Lineage: Bacteria; Pseudomonadati; Bacteroidota; Bacteroidia; Bacteroidales. RNAcentral also lists the same sequence under 2 other names.